This is a long non-coding RNA of Neofelis nebulosa (Clouded leopard), 2341 nucleotides long. RefSeq lists it as uncharacterized. The transcript is spliced from 3 exons. NCBI's taxonomy places the organism in Eukaryota, Metazoa, Chordata, Mammalia, Carnivora, Felidae. The record is from RefSeq and is a predicted model, not a curated record.
GCCAGUUCUAAUGAAAGUAGCUUAAUAUAUCCUAAACAUUAUUCAAAGUAAUUAGUUCUUAUCUUGCCAUUUAGGUCUCAAUAACAUAGACCGUAGAGGCAGCAAGUCAAGAAAGCAGCUAAUGGGUGAGGUCCCUGUGAAUUCUUUCUGUAAAGUAUAUAGUAAAGGGCGUGACCCCAUUCCAAUGUCAAGGUGGAUUGCAAGUAAAGAGAAAAUUGGCCGAGUCUGGGGCCCAAAUCCUUUUAUGAGCCUUGUGAUACAGCAAGAAACAAGAAGAAAGCCAGAUCUCAUCCCCAAAGAAAGAAUGUAACAAGAGGAAGUGGUUUAUUUAAAUUUUUUGACCACAUCUUUUCUCUCAGUAGAAUCAAAUUCUUCCUCUACUUUCACUUUUUCUUUUGAAUAAAAAAUUGCCCCAGUUUUUCAUUUCCCUUGUUAAGCAUGCCUAUGGGAUUAGGUUUAUGUUUGAACCAGCUAGUUGCUUCUUGUUUCUUAGCAAGCUCUGCCAUAUGAUCAAGGCCGUCUUCUUGUUGUCAUGACAACCUACAUUUACAUAAGCAAGAACUGGGGGAAAAUAUUUGUUGUUUGGAAUGAUUUGUGGUAAAUUUCAUCGUAAUGGAAAGAUAUAGCACCAACUUGACAGGCUAGCAGCUAGAAUUGGAAAAACAAAACAGACUUUUCCUAUUUCUUUUAGUGAGAUCUAUUUGAUAGGUGCCACUUUUGGCUAUCCUAAGUACCACCGUAUCUGGGAAAAAAAGGAAAGAAUGUGAUAAUCUUUCAUUCUGUCUUUAAUCACAUUUUCAGCAGCAAUCAGGACUUGGUGUGUUUUUGAGAGGGAGAGGAGGGGCCUGUUCCAAAAGCAAUGGUUAUUGAACCAGAAUCUUAAUGACCCCCUAGGGGAUCCACAGAUAAACCUCCUAAGGGGUAUGGCAGAGAUUACUCGCUCCAAUCUGUGUUCUCUUCUAUGCACACUGCCUGACUACAUUAACAGGACUCCCUUGCUGUUACGUAGGACCAUGUGAUUGACAUCAGCCAACGGACUGUGUGCAGGAGUGUCUACGCCACUUUCGGGCCUGGCUUAUACAAACCCCUACAGGUGCUCCUCCAUGCUCACCAUUUCCACCCGGCUGGAAUGGAGAUGACACCCAGGGCAGAAAGUUCAUCCCCCUGACCCCUAAGUGACUGCAUGUAGAAGGGCCUCUCCAGCUUCGUUACCAGCUAGAGUGAGCAGGGAAGGGCCAGAGAGAGAGGAAGAGAGAGAAUCCUAAGCAGACUCCACACUGUCAGCACGGAGCCCAAUGUGGGGCUCGAACUCAAGAACCACCAGAUCCUGACCUGAGCUGAAACCAAGAGACGCUUAACCGACUGAGCCACCCAGUAGGCUCCAUGCCCAGUCAGAGUCCAACAAGGGCCUUGAACUCCCCACCCUGAGAUCAAGACCUAAGCUGAGAUCAAGAGUCGGAGGCUUAACCAACUGAGCCACCCAGGUGCCCUCACCUUUCUACUCUUUAAAAGUAGUACGUAAUCCAGGGCACUUGGGUGGUGCACUGUCAGGACGGAGCCUGCUUGUGAUUCUCUCCCUCUCUCUCUGACCCUCCUCUGCUUGCACUCUCUCAUUCUCUCAAAACAAAUAAAUUUCAAAAAGUUAAAAAAAAUAAAAGCAAUACAUAAUUAAAGAUAUUUAUGAAAAUACAACAAAAAAUGAAAGCAAAAGCUGAAAAUAAAACACCUGUAAUCCCUAAAAAACUGAUUUUAACCUUCUUGGGGCACUUGGGGGGCUCAGUCGGUUAAGCGUCUGACUUCGGCUCAGGUCAUGAUCUCGUGGUUUGUGAGUUCCAGCCCUGUGUUGGACUCUGUGCUGACAACUCAGAGCCUGGAGACUGCUUCAGAUUCUGUGUCUCUGUCUCCCUCUGCCCCUCCCCAGCUGGCGUUCUCUCUCUCUCUCUCUCUCUCUCUCUCACUCAAAAAUAAUUAAACGUAAAAAAAUUUUUUUCAUGUUUUUAAAUUUAUUUUGGAGACAGAGAGAGACAGAGCCUGAGCAGGGGAGGGGCAGAGAGAGAGGGAGACACAGAAUCUGAAGCAGGCUCCAGGCUCCUAGCUGUCAGCACAGAGCCCGACGCGGGGCUCGAACUCACAAACCACGAGAUCAUGACCUGAGCCAAAGUCGGAUGCUUAACCGACUGAGCCAUCCAGGUGCCCCUAUACAUAAAAAUUUUUUUAAAAACUGAUUUCAACAUUCUAUUAGUGUAUUUUUAUUGUUUUCUAAAUAUAAUUGUAUUUUUAACAAUACGAUGAUACUAAAUAUGUGAUUUCAUUGCUUUUAUACUUAAUCAUACAUUGUGAG